This 73-nucleotide transfer RNA is filed under the name Camelus bactrianus (Bactrian camel). It matches the Rfam family "tRNA". Rfam says of the family: Transfer RNA (tRNA) molecules are approximately 80 nucleotides in length. Their secondary structure includes four short double-helical elements and three loops (D, anti-codon, and T loops). The record is from Rfam by way of RNAcentral. RNAcentral also lists the same sequence under 2 other names. Lineage: Eukaryota; Metazoa; Chordata; Mammalia; Artiodactyla; Camelidae.
GAGGGUAUAGCUCAAGUGGUAGAGUGCAUGCUUAGCAUUCACGAGGUCCUGGGUUCAAUCCCCAGUAUCUCCC